UACGUAGGGUGCAAGCGUUGUCCGGAAUUAUUGGGCGUAAAGAGCUCGUAGGCGGCUUGUCGCGUUGUCCGUGAAAAUUUACCGCUCAACGGUGAACUUGCGGGCGAUACGGGCAGGCUAGAGUACUGCAGGGGAGACUGGAAUUCCUGGUGUAGCGGUGAAAUGCGCAGAUAUCAGGAGGAACACCGGUGGCGAAGGCGGGUCUCUGGGCAGUAACUGACGCUGAGGAGCGAAAGCGUGGGGAGCAAACAGG
Molecule: ribosomal RNA, 253 nt
Filed under: uncultured bacterium
Lineage: Bacteria
Description: partial 16S ribosomal RNA
Rfam family: Bacterial small subunit ribosomal RNA
Source: RNAcentral